RNAcentral lists this small RNA (31 nucleotides) under Bombyx mori (domestic silkworm). RNAcentral's name for it is "ovarian small RNA-4008". Lineage: Eukaryota; Metazoa; Arthropoda; Insecta; Lepidoptera; Bombycidae. The record is from RNAcentral.
UUCCGUCCCCACCCCCUCCUCUCGGGGAAGA